ACGUAGGGUGCGAGCGUUAAUCGGAAUUACUGGGCGUAAAGCGUGCGCAGGCGGCGCGUUAAGACAGGUGUGAAAGCCCCGAGCUUAACUUGGGAAUUGCGCUUGUGACUGGCGUGCUGGAGUGUGGCAGAGGGAGGUGGAAUUCCAGGUGUAGCGGUGAAAUGCGUAGAUAUCUGGAGGAACAUCAGUGGCGAAGGCGGCUUCCUGGUCCAACACUGACACUGAGGUGCGAAAGCGUGGGGAGCAAACAGGA
This 253-nucleotide ribosomal RNA is filed under the name uncultured prokaryote. RNAcentral's name for it is "partial 16S ribosomal RNA". It matches the Rfam family "Bacterial small subunit ribosomal RNA", at positions 525 to 777 of the family's 1533-position model. The record is from RNAcentral.